GCAACGAGCGCAACCCUACUCAUCUGUUGCCAGCAUUUAAGGUGGGGACGUCAGAUGAGACUGCCGGUGACAAACCGGAGGAAGGUGGGGACGACGUCAAGUCAUCAUGGCCCUUAUGUCCUGGGCUACACACGUGCUACAAUGGCCGGUACAGAGUGAAGCGAAACCGCGAGGUGAAGCAAAACGCAGAAAGCCGGUCUCAGUACGGAUUGGAGUCUGAAACUCGACUUCAUGAAGUUGGAAUCGCUAGUAAUCGCGCAUCAGCAUGGCGCGGUGAAUACGUUCCCGGGCCUU
This 294-nucleotide ribosomal RNA is filed under the name uncultured Spirochaeta sp. RNAcentral describes it as "partial 16S ribosomal RNA". It matches the Rfam family "Bacterial small subunit ribosomal RNA", at positions 1089 to 1382 of the family's 1533-position model. The record is from RNAcentral. Lineage: Bacteria; Pseudomonadati; Spirochaetota; Spirochaetia; Spirochaetales; Spirochaetaceae.